CUAUUAUAUAUAUGAUUUUGUC
RNAcentral lists this small nuclear RNA (22 nucleotides) under Arabidopsis thaliana (thale cress). Its description in RNAcentral is "snRNA_06945". The record is from RNAcentral. Lineage: Eukaryota; Viridiplantae; Streptophyta; Magnoliopsida; Brassicales; Brassicaceae.